This is a non-coding RNA of Pelobates cultripes (western spadefoot toad), 210 nucleotides long. The record is from the annotation of a GenBank genome assembly. NCBI's taxonomy places the organism in Eukaryota, Metazoa, Chordata, Amphibia, Anura, Pelobatidae.
GUUUUACUUUUCUUUUCUCAUUUAUGUAUCUAAAAAAUGUUUUAUCCACCUUUUUUACUGACUGUGCUAUUUUCUCUUCUGUGUGUGAUUUGGAAGCUCUUAUAACUUGCUUAGCCUCUUUCUGCCUAAUCUUAUAGAUCAUUUUGUCUUCCUCACUCUGGGUUUUUUUAUAAUUCCUAAAUGCUAACUUUUUGUUUUUAACUAUUUUGG